RNAcentral lists this long non-coding RNA (331 nucleotides) under Gossypium raimondii (Peruvian cotton). Its description in RNAcentral is "long non-coding RNA (GRAI_LNC009174)". Lineage: Eukaryota; Viridiplantae; Streptophyta; Magnoliopsida; Malvales; Malvaceae. The record is from RNAcentral.
GGGGGAUAAAAAGGCAGAAGAUCUUGUUUUGUAAGUGGAAGGGCUUCAUCACUGUGAUCAGGGGGGGAAACUGAUCUUGUUUUGUAAAAAAAAGGGGCUUCAUCACUGUAAUCGGGGGGGUUUUCUUUUCUUUUCUUUUCUUUUUUCUUCUUUCUUUUCUCGGCUAAAGCCGAAUGUGCUCAGAAAAAGAGGAGAUUCUUCUUCCUUUUUUUAACGAACAUUAAUAAAAUAAAAACAUAAAAAACAGAUUCAAGGUCAUUGUUUUUUUUCAGUUUUGCGUAUCUACUUUUCUUUUUUUUUCCUUUCAUUUUUUUUCUUUCUUCAUUUAUGC